GUAAAAGUCGUAACAAGGUUUCCGUAGGUGAACCUGCGGAAGGAUCAUUACCUAGAGUUGUAGGCUUUGCCUGCUAUCUCUUACCCAUGUCUUUUGAGUACCUUACGUUUCCUCGGUGGGUUCGCCCACCGAUUGGACAAACUUAAACCCUUUGCAGUUGAAAUCAGCGUCUGAAAAAACUUAAUAGUUACAACUUUCAACAACGGAUCUCUUGGUUCUGGCAUCGAUGAAGAACGCAGCGAAAUGCGAUAAGUAGUGUGAAUUGCAGAAUUCAGUGAAUCAUCGAAUCUUUGAACGCACAUUGCGCCCCUUGGUAUUCCAUGGGGCAUGCCUGUUCGAGCGUCAUUUGUACCUUCAAGCUCUGCUUGGUGUUGGGUGUUUGUCUCCUGUAGACUCGCCUUAAAACAAUUGGCAGCCGGCGUAUUGAUUUCGGAGCGCAGUACAUCUCGCGCUUUGCACUCAUAACGACGACGUCCAAAAGUACAUUUUUACACUCUUGACCUCGGAUCAGGUAGGGAUACCCGCUGAACUUAAG
This 535-nucleotide ribosomal RNA is filed under the name Ampelomyces sp. F117.1. RNAcentral's name for it is "eukaryotic LSU rRNA". The stretch from base 192 to 345 matches the Rfam family "5.8S ribosomal RNA". The record is from RNAcentral. Lineage: Eukaryota; Fungi; Ascomycota; Dothideomycetes; Pleosporales; Phaeosphaeriaceae. RNAcentral also lists the same sequence under 1 other name.